This 494-nucleotide ribosomal RNA is filed under the name uncultured bacterium. RNAcentral describes it as "partial 16S ribosomal RNA". It matches the Rfam family "Bacterial small subunit ribosomal RNA", at positions 28 to 507 of the family's 1533-position model. The record is from RNAcentral.
GACGAACGCUGGCGGCGCGCUUAACACAUGCAAGUCGAACGGAAAGGCCUGCUUUCCCUUGUGGAUUGCGGGUACUCGAGUGGCGAACGGGUGAGUAACACGUGAGUUAUCUGCCCCCAACUUGGGUAUAAGCCUGGGUAACUGGGUCUAAUUCCCGAUAGGACUGCAGGGUGGUGCCUGUGUUGGAACACGAUUUUCUAGUGGUUGGGGAUGAGGUCGGGGCCUAUCAGCUUGUUGGUGGGGUAAUGGCCUACCAAGGCGGCGACGGGUAGCCGGCCUGAGAGGGUGCACGGCCGCAUUGGGACUGCGAUACGGCCCAGAAUGCGACGGGAGGCAGCAGUGGGGAAUAUAGCGCAAGGGGGGGAAGCCUGACGCAGCGACGCGGGGUGGGAGAUGACGGCCUUCGGGUUGUAAUCUCCUUUCGAAAGAGAGGAAGCCACCUGGUUGGAAGGGUGGUGACGGUAGUGGUAGAAGAAGCACCGGCUAACUACGUG